Limulus polyphemus (Atlantic horseshoe crab) is the source of this 1014-nucleotide long non-coding RNA. RefSeq lists it as uncharacterized. The record is from RefSeq and is a predicted model, not a curated record. The transcript has 6 exons. Lineage: Eukaryota; Metazoa; Arthropoda; Merostomata; Xiphosura; Limulidae.
AUGAUGAAAACAUUGAUAGUGAUCAGAUGAUGUUUUAAUUGUGAUCGUAUUUGUGUCUGCAGGAAAAAAAUAAAAGAAAACUUGCACAUCAGUGACCAGAAUCCCAGAUCAAACAUGUAUGGAUACAUCACACAAGGCUUACAAGUGAUGAAUUCUCCAGAAUCUUUGAAAAAAUAGUUAAGAAUCAAAUGAAAGUCCUGAAGAAUUAACUAUAAUUUUCAUGGGUGAUUGGCGUAUGGAAUGAGUUGCCAGAGGCAGCAGUGGAACCCAACACUUUAUAAGAUCAAAGGGAACCAAUAGCUUUCUGAAAAGAAACAUUUCAUUUAGUGUGAAGACCAACUAUUUCUUCUUGGCAAGUUAGACAGCUCUUUGUGAUGUUGCCUCAAGUAACCCAUUUUGCUUUGGAAAAAAAAGAUACACAGUGCUUUGCCAAGGAAUGAGACCAUCACCAAGGGGUCAAUACUUCGAUGGAAACUUAAAGUUAUAGAGAAUUCUACAUCAAGUGCUGAAAGUUCUUGAAAUAUUUUACAAAAUCUCACUUCCAGCUUAUCUCAAUCUGUACUAUCCACCACUAAUCAGUAUCCAACUAAUCUUAGCAAAACUCCCUAAAAAAAACCACAAAAGACACCAGGAAAAUCAAAAUGUACUCCAGGGCAAGCCAAAACACCAAAGACACCAGGAAACAGUGGAAACCGGUUUAUACCAUGGAGGAAUGCAUUUGGAGAUAAGUCACAAUAUGGCCAUACAGCACGAGUUCUUCAUCUUUCCAUGAGCCCUGAUGGAGCCACAGUUAUGUCGGCAGGGGCUGAUAAAAUUCUUCGACUUUGGAAAUGUUUUGCUCCACCAAAUGAUCAAAGAAAAAGGAGACAUCAAUAAGGCCUAUUCACUUUAGCAUAAGAUAACUGUUUUAUAUGUACUUUAAAAAUUGUGUAUUUGACGUUCAUACUAUAGAAUGUUUUGUCAAAUAUUUUGGCAUAGAGAUAAUUCUCUGGAAAUAAAUCUCUUAGGUUUUUA